AGCGCAGGUCCUUCCGGACCUGGCUAAUCGGAUGAGGCUAAUGUCGGAUACGUGUUUGGAGUACGAUCCACCAGCGACGAUUCGUAGGUGUCGAGAGGAUUGAUCAGCAACUCGACUGAGACACGCCGAACUCCUACGGAGGCAGCAGUGGGGAUAUGACAAUGGGGCAACCUGAUCCAGCAUGCGCGGUGUGUGAAGAAGCCCUCGGGUGUAAAGCACUUCAGCGAGGAAGAAUGCUUGUCGGUUAAUACCCGGCAAGGGAGACAUCACUCGCAGAAGAAGCACCGGGCUAACUCCGUGCCAGCAGCCGCGGUAAUACGGAGGGUGCGAGCGUUAAUCGGAAUUACUGGGCGUAAAGCGUGCGUAGGCGGCUUGAUAAGCCGGUUGUGAAAGCCCCGGGCUCAACCUGGGAACGGCAUCCGGAACUGUUAGGCUAGAGUGCAGGAGAGGAAGGUAGAAUUCCCCGGUGUAGCGGUGAAAUGCGUAGAGAUCGGGAGGAAUACCAGUGGCGAAGGCGGCCUUCUGGACUGACACUGACGCUGAGGUACGAAAGCGUGGGUAGCAAACAGGAUUAGAUACCCUGGUAGUCCACGCCGUAAACGAUGUCGACUAGCCGUUGGGGUCCUCGAGACCUUUGUGGCGCAGUUAACGCACUAAGUCGACCGCCUGGGGAGUACGGCCGCAAGGUUAAAACUCAAAUGAAUUGACGGGGGCCCGCACAAGCGGUGGAGCAUGUGGUUUAAUUCGAUGCAACGCGAAGAACCUUACCUACCCUUGACAUCGUGCGAACUUUCCAGAGAUGGAUUGGUGCCUUCGGGAGCGCACAGACAGGUGCUGCAUGGCUGUCGUCAGCUCGUGUUGUGAAAUGUUGGGUUAAGUCCCGUAACGAGCGCAACCCUUGUCCCUAUUUGCCAGCGAUUCGGUCGGGAACUCUAGGGAGACUGCCGGUGACAAACCGGAGGAAGGUGGGGACGACGUCAAGUCAUCAUGGCCCUUACGGGUAGGGCUACACACGUGCUACAAUGGCCGGUACAAUGGGUUGCAAAGCGGCGACGUGGAGCUAAUCUCAUAAAGCCGGUCUCAGUCCGGAUCGGAGUCUGCAACUCGACUCCGUGAAGUCGGAAUCGCUAGUAAUCGUGCAUCAGAAUGGCACGGUGAAUACGUUCCCGGGCCUUGUACACACCGCCCGUCACACCAUGGGAGUGGACUGCACCAUGAAGAGUGUGUUAGCCUAAUCUACAGAGGGUGAUCAAGCACAGAUAGAAAACGAA
Molecule: ribosomal RNA, 1271 nt
Filed under: Halomonas elongata
Lineage: Bacteria; Pseudomonadati; Pseudomonadota; Gammaproteobacteria; Oceanospirillales; Halomonadaceae
Description: bacterial SSU rRNA
Rfam family: Bacterial small subunit ribosomal RNA
Source: RNAcentral